Molecule: long non-coding RNA, 1456 nt
Organism: Heterocephalus glaber (naked mole-rat)
Lineage: Eukaryota; Metazoa; Chordata; Mammalia; Rodentia; Bathyergidae
Source: Ensembl
GUUUGAGUCUCCUAGUGUACAGUGUUGAUUUAGCCCUGAAAAUACUAUUUUUCUCCUGUUAUAAUUGUACUUGUGUUCUGUUUGCCAUCUCUGUCACUAGAGGUGGUUGUCCUUGGACCUUAUUAAGUUGGUUGUCCCUGACAGGUCAUUGUCAUCAUUGGUUCCUGAAUAAAAUAUUAACCUUUUAAGUCAGAAGGAACCUCAGUGCUUCUUAGGGUUUUGUUUUGUUUUUAAGCCAGAGAAUAAAGAACUGUUUGAAUAUGAGGUUUCUGUAAAAUUUUCUACAAAACAACAUAGAUGAAUUUGAAGGUAGAAUAAUGUGUAAAUUAUUUUUAAAUGUAAGUAAAUUCUCUGACUUGGUAACUGUUCUGAAUACACUGCGUUUAAGAAUUCUUUAAAACUUGGUUUUUCUAAAAUUCAGAAAUGUCCAAAUUAGGCAUAUUGCUGAGCUCAAAUUGAUUUGAAGUGCCAUGGUUCAAGUUGAACUUUAAAUAUUUCAAUUUAGUUGUAAAUAAUGUGAUAUAUGCCUGAUUGAUUAUAAUAGGAACCCAUGACAUAUUUAGCCAAAGAAUAUAUUUGGUUCAGGUGAAGACUGAAGCUUAAUAAUGGGUAUCCAUUUCUAUUUUAAAAAGGAUUUUAGUGAAGAAAUCUGUUUGUGGCCUGUAGCGCUCUAUAUGGAAGUCUUUGUAAAGACUGAACACCCUGAGCCAGCUCCAUGGUAAUCCGUGGUAUGAACUAGGAGGUGUAGCUUGUGUAUUACACCUUCAGUGAGGCUUACACUGAGUACUAUCUCCCAUCCUCACACACUGUGUCUGGGUCUUCACCUGUUCCCAGGCCUUCCUAGCAGCAGGGAGGUUUGGUUUCCUCUUCAGUCUGUGUUCUUAGACCUCUCAGCUGUUCGGCACUGUCAGUGUGCCCUCACAGCUGAUGUUUCUAGUCUGAAGUUAAGCACCACAUCUAUACCAUGUACCUACUGGGGAUCUGACCUCAAGUGUGCUCUGAGCCCAGGCUGCCUGGUGUGGAGUCUUCUGCCACAAAGUUACUAUGACUGAUUGCAAAUGUUGGUAUUGUGAUUUCAUUCUCUGUACAAAGAAAGAAGCUCUAUGCAGUGAGUUUGUGGUUUAAUGGUCACAAAAUGUUAGGACUGCUACAUUCAGUACAUGUAAAAUUUUUUAAAUUUAUAAAUAUUAAACUUUUAAACUUACUCUAAGACUUUUCAGUUUUUUUUAAGAGACCCAGGGACAAGUGUACUAUUUAAAUAUUUACCUCUAUUAACAUAACUAAUAAAGGUAUAACAUGUUUAAUUUUUCAAGAGAUGCUGCAAUAUCAUUUUAGGAAAUAAGGAUGUGUAUUGAGCCACAAGUGGAGUAUCAAAUUGAUAAAAAUUUUAUUUGUAUUUUUUAAAUCCAUACAUGGGAGUUAAAAUAUGUCUUUUCACUAAAUAUUUUAUUACAUU